Long non-coding RNA from Ostrinia nubilalis (European corn borer), 1679 nucleotides. RefSeq lists it as uncharacterized. The record is from RefSeq and is a predicted model, not a curated record. The transcript has 2 exons. Lineage: Eukaryota; Metazoa; Arthropoda; Insecta; Lepidoptera; Crambidae.
UGUAGUUGCCUAUUAACACCGCUAAGUGCGUGGCUGCGCCUACCAUUGACGGCCUGACGUUAAAAUAAGCGGUCGGUAAAAUAGUCUCUAUCUAAUGUCAGACAAUAUAUGUCAGUGCGAAUAAUUGGAAAAGCGUGUUAUUUAUUUCUCCUAUUCCCAAUACACAACAGUGGCGACGAAACCCACAAUUUUAAAAGAAAAUGGCCAAUCUCGGCAUAUUAACGAUAUUCGACCACAAUUUGCAACAAUGGGAUACGUACAUAGGACGUAUUAAGCAGUUUUUCAUCGCAAAUGGGGUCGACGCUGUCACAGAUUCGGCGGGAACGAGGAGACGCGCCAUAUUAUUAAGUGCACUCUGCGAUAGCACAUACAAGCUAGUACAAGAUUUAGCGUUACCUAAAAAGCUAGAAAAUGUGCCAUAUGAAGAUAUCUUGUCUCUACUGGAUGCGCAUUUUACGCCAAAGCACAUUGGAUUCGCCGAGCGUCAUAACUUUUAUGCAGCGACGCAGCAGUUGGGGGAAAGUUACGCACAGUGGGCCGCCAGGUUGCGAGGCUUAACGGCGCACUGCAAAUUCACCAAUAUCGAAGAGACCUUGCGGGACCGUUUCAUAAUGGGCAUGCUGCCGGGCCAAGAAAAAGAAAAAUUAUACGGGAAAAACCUGGAGGAGAUGACACUGGCGAAGGCGGUGGAGUGGGCUGAAAAUCUACGUUGUGCUAAAGUUAGCGCGACAGCCAGCGGUAGCGGCGAUGGCGUCGGCCACACAACACCGCUAUUCAAACUCCAAAGUGCUAAAAAGAAGUGUGCAGUGUGUGGUUACACAAACCACGCAACAGAUAAGUGCCGUUUCGCGAAAUAUUCGUGUAAGAAGUGCGGUGUAAAGGGACAUUUACGUAGAAUGUGUGUGAAUUACGUCAAAACGGCCAGUAAUGAGGGUGAGAGCGAAGGGGAUGACGUUUUCACAGAGUAAAAGUUAUGGUACUAAUACCCAAACAUUUGAAGUUGGAACCAAUGUUUUAUAUAAAAAAUUUGUUAAAAAUAACAAAUUCAUGUGGUGUAAGGGUAUAGUUAUUAAGCGUAUGGGUAAAGUUAUGUACUUAGUUAAAGAUAACGAUUCUUCAAGCUGUGUUAAUAAGCAUAAAAAUCAGUUAAUGUUAUAUAAGGGGCGCCGCGACGAAAAUCCUAGCCCAAGACGGGAUCUCAACAUAAAUAUUCAGGACCUCACAUCAUCAUCAUCACCAUCACCCACAAGGAUGCCAGAAACAGCGCCUGAAACCGACCACCUGGGCGCUGACUUCGUCGGAGGGGACGAUAGUGAUGCACCUGUGUCGAUGCCCGACGCAACGAUGGUUCAAGCAAAUUCACCUGAUGAUGAACAGAGAGAAGAGUCUAGGUCGGGAGAAACACAUUGUACAGACACGCCAGAGCCUGUUGAAUCGACCGAGUCGGCAGCAUCAACAAGACCAGCAAGGCAACGCAGGCGGCCCAGGGACGAUGUGUAUCUUUAUUAUUAGUUCUAGUAAUAGUCAACUAGGGGGAGGGACUGUUAUGUAGUUGCCUAUUAACACCGCUAAGUGCGUGGCUGCGCCUACCAUUGACGGCCUGACGUUAAAAUAAGCGGUCGGUAAAAUAGUCUCUAUCUAAUGUCAGACAAUAUAUGUCAGUGCGAAUAAUUGGAAAA